AGAGUUUGAUCCUGGCUCAGAGCGAACGCUGGCGGCGUGCUUAACACAUGCAAGUCGAACGCGCAGCAUUCUGUAGCAAUACAGGGUGUGGGCGCGUGGCGAACGGGUGCGUAACACGUGGAUAACCUUCCUUCAGGUGGGGAAUAACCCAGUGAAAAUUGGGCUAAUACCGCAUAACAUGACGAUGGCACAUGCUGUUGUCUUCAAAGGCGCAAGUCGCCAGAAGAGGGAUCCGCGGCCGAUUAGCUUGUUGGCGAGGUAAUGGCUCACCAAGGCAUUGAUCGGUAGCCGGGCUGAGAGGUUGGCCGGCCACACUGGAACUGAGACACGGUCCAGACUCCUACGGGAGGCAGCAGUGGGGAAUCUUGCACAAUGGACGAAAGUCUGAUGCAGCAACGCCGCGUGGGGGAUGAAGCUUUUCGGAGUG
RNAcentral lists this ribosomal RNA (427 nucleotides) under uncultured bacterium. Its description in RNAcentral is "bacterial SSU rRNA". It matches the Rfam family "Bacterial small subunit ribosomal RNA", at positions 8 to 425 of the family's 1533-position model. The record is from RNAcentral.